Molecule: long non-coding RNA, 229 nt
Filed under: Trifolium pratense (red clover)
Lineage: Eukaryota; Viridiplantae; Streptophyta; Magnoliopsida; Fabales; Fabaceae
Description: long non-coding RNA (TPRA_LNC013204)
Source: RNAcentral
GUGUAUGAAUUAAAACAUUAAUGCACGUCAUCCUUCUCGUCUCUCCACAGGUAAUGCCCCUAUUAUCUCCUCCCACACAAUACUUAUUUUUCUUUCAAGGAAAAUGAUCUCUUUGCUUGCUACGAGUUUGUACUGCGGGUGCAAGGUUAAAAACCGAGGAUCAUCUUUUCUCAUAAAUAAAUACCGUUUUUCUUGGAAAAGUCUUAACUAUAUCCUUUUAUGAGCCCUC